UGUAAAGUGUGAUACACCAGCAAUUGUGCUUUGGCAUUUUUUUGCAUGAUAGGGCUCCCUAUCGAUUUUCAUGCUAUGUCAUGUGAUCUCCAUAUGUCCAGCUGAAGUUUCUGGCCUGAUGCAAUUUGCACUUCUGUAUUGAUUCAGAACUCUGCAAAUUUCCAGUUGUGGAAAGUCAGAGGUUUCAAUCCUAUGAUGAUGCCCACAAAAGACCUUGUGUCACUGGGGCAGCUGAUCUUUCUCUCUUGAAAGCGCUUUAAAUGUCAACGCUCCAUUCAACGUUUUAACAAAUAUUAUCCCUUUCUGACAGUAGUACUUCAAGAAGUGAAUAAUUCAACAUCUUGACUUUUGCCCCUUUGUCAUAAAGAGCUGUCACAUGCAAAUUCCACAGUAAUUACAGGAAGAUGGAUUGCUUGCUUGCAAACAUCCCAUCGUGUCAUAUCUUUAAAUAUUUAAAUAUAUUCAGUUCACUGCAUGUAUGUAUUCUUCAUUUAGGGAUUAGCUGAGAUAGAAAUGUCUGUGCACCCUGACAUAAUUAAAUGUUAUGGGUAAUGCACAGUCGUGGGUUGCCCCCUGUUCGGACCGGUUCUAUAGAACCGGUAGUAAAACUAGCAGGAGGCUCUGCCACUGACCUGAACACCAUCAAAAGUGAUGUGCGCAUGCAAGCGGAGUGAGCGUGCGUGCGUGGGCACAAUGCGAACCGGUAGUAAAGAUAAGUAGAACCCACCCCUGCGAUAAAGGCUAAUUCAGUGAUGAUCUAUUUGCUUCUAAUUGCAGUUUCCAAACAUGAAUAGUAAUGGCAUCACAUUCAUAUAUUCAGAGGUGGUAUUCAGCCAACUCGGACUGGUUUGGGCAAACCGGUAGUGGAGAUCGCGGGUGGGUCUGCCCCCAUACCCCAGUGGUAUGCCAUCCUAAUUAGGCAUGGUUUUGAGGCCAGGCGCAUGCACGGAAGACGAACAGGUGAGCAAAGUGCAUGUGCAGAAGGCUGUGGAAGCUGCACACAUGCAGCGAACCGGUGGUAACAAAAUGUGAAAGCCACCACUGCAUAUGUUCCUUAAAAUCUCAGGACCAACUUUCAUAAAUAAAAAGAGAGAAAGGUAUAGCAAUGAAGGAUUAACAGUCCUUUAACUCCUUGCACAUUAUUAAUGGAAUUGCACAAUUGUCAUAUGAACAGACCUCCUUUCUCACGCUUAAAAAAAGCCUGAUCGCUAACCGAUACAUUGCCUUGUAUUGCUUCUUUACCUUCCUAUCUGCUUUUCCCCCCCCUCAGCUUCCUGUCUUCAAGCAAAUAUAUGAUAUGAAGCAGAAGGCACUUGCUUUGACCAAUGGAAGAUCUUUGGAGAUUUUGUUUACUUAUUUAAAGGGCUUCUGUGCUACUCCAGUUGAUAACUGACUCAAGAGCGGCUUACACUUUCUACUUUUGUAAAUAAGGUUAAAUCAAGAUAGCAUCGGUUGACAAUAUCUUAUAAUAAGCACCAUGCAACACAGUUUGGUGCCAGAGAUAAAGGAAAGGACACUGCUUCAGUCCAGCCUCCCUCUCCUCCAAAUUAAGAGGGAACAGUUCACAUUUUUACCCCUAAUAUCUGCUUAAAAGCUCAGAUUUUCAUGGCCUUUCUAAAGCCUAGCAAAGCACACGAGAUAUUUAAAAAGCAGACCUAAGAAGUUUGGUCCAGUGGUGAAGGCUUCAGGCUAGAAACCAGGAGAUGGUGAAUUCUAGUCUUUGUCUUAGGCAUGAAAGCCUGCUGGAUAAGUUUGGGCCAUUCAGCAGGUGACGGUGAGAUCUAAUUCUACUUUAGGCAUGAAAUCUGGCUGGGUGACCUUAGAUCUGUCAGUACAACCAGUGGUGGGAUUCAGCCAGUUUGGGAGAACCGGUUGUUAACUUUCUGAGCAGUUUGGCAAACUGGUUGUUGGAAGAAAUCAUUAGGGCAGAGAAUUGAUUGUUAAAUUACUUGAAUCCCUCCACUGAGGAUGGAGGGAUGAGGGCCUUGCCCCUCCCAAGAGUCCCCAUGCAGCCCGUUUUGGAUGCAGGUAAGUGCAGAGUGUGUGCAGAGGCUCAGGGAGGGUGAAAAACGGGCCUACCGGAAAUUCGGGAAGCCCCAGGGCCUCUGGAGUCUGGGGAGGCCAUUUUCACUCUCCCAGAGGCUUGAGAAAAGCCUCUGGAGCCCGGGGAGGGCAAAAAUACCCCCCCCCCGCCAUGGUGCAGGAGGCCGACUAGGCCACGCCCACCAUGGCCACGCCCACCUAGCAACCAGGCAGAGAACCCCUUGCUAAAAAUUUUAAAGCCUACCCCUGGACAGGGUUGUUGUGGGGAAAAUAGUGGGAGGAAGGAAUAUUAGGAAUGUUUGAGUUACUAAUAAAGGAAUAAAAGUGGGUUUAAAACAACAACAAUAAUAAAAAAGAUAUGGGAAGCCCCGUCCUGCAGUGAUGUCAUUCCACAAGUCUCUCCUUUACAUGCCUUGUCCCGAUACUGUUGCAGCCUGGAUCUUAAAGAGUGACAUCACUGCCUAUGCUCAGACAGAUAAUCUAUUGUUUGCUAGUGAAAAAACAAGUCAGCCACUUCCUCCCUGCUUUCUAACAACCAUCAGACCGACUAACUUAUUUUCUGAGGCUGAUUGCCAAUUACCAGCCAAGAACAGAGACUGGCUGCUGGCUUUCUUUCUUUUUUCUUUUUUAAAUCUGGCAAGGAAUAAUUAAACUGUCAUUUAUUUAUUUUUCAGACUGGAAUAGAAAAACAGAAAUCCAGGGAUCAAGUUGUGUCAGCGGAUGCCAGGCGGCGAAAGACCAGGUCCACAAGGAAGGAAGUAUUUCGGAGAACUUGCCUUUGAUCCACUUGUGAAAAGGAACGUUUGCUUAUCCGUAAAACCAUCCACUCAAACUGACAAAGCUGUUUCAACAAACUGCUCUUGAUAACUUCAUAUCUGGAGUCUCUAGGCUGCUUGUACUGUAUUUCUUUCACCAUUACAUUUCGUUUUUGGCACCGUUGUUUAAAAACAGCGAUUUCCCAAUACUUUUGACCUAGAAAUUCAGCUAAAUGUAUGUAUUUCCCUGGAAAGCUUUCAGAAUAUGUGACAGUGUGUCAUGCUGCAGGGCUCACGCUGAACAAAGUCAUAAAAUGCUCCUCACUGUUCAACAAUAGAAGUGUCCAAGUGUGAGCUUGACGUUUGACUGUUUAGCAUUGAUUUUGACUUCAGUUAUGGAACAUUUAGAUUUAGUUCACUGACCUCUUCAAUAUGAGCCUGUUGUGAGACUUAAAAAAAAAAAAAAAAGGAGCCAGCAUGAUAUAUUGGCUAAGGUUUAGUCUAGGAUUCAAGAGAUGCAAGUUCAAACCCCAUUCAGCUUUGGAAUACAUUAUAUCACAGCGUGGAGAUAAAAGAAAAGGAAUUCAUGCGCACUUCCUUAAGUUCUCAGCAAACAGCAUAAACAUCAGCGAUGAAAUCCAGCCAGAUCUAUCCGAACUGGUAGAGCCGGGAGCGGGAGGCUCCGUGCACCCGCCUGGACAUCAUCACGUCCCAUUUUUGACCCUCUGCACAUGUGCAGAAGAGGUGCGUGUGCUCACAUUUCCGAUCCAGUAGCGAAGGCUUGAAAUUCUGGGCUUGGACAAUCUGGAACUGCGCCGCCUGUGGUCUGAUCUAAGCGUAGUACACAAAAUUGUCUGCUACAACGUCUUACCUGUCAACGACUUCUUCAGCUUCAACCACAAUAAUACACGGGCAAACCAUCGAUACAAACUCAAGGUAAACCGCUCCAAACUCGAUUGCAGAAAAUACAACUUCAGCAACAGAGUGGUCAAUGCCUGGAAUGCUUUACUUGACUCCACGGUUACAUCCUCAAAUCCUCACAGCUUCAACCUCAAACUGUCUACUGCGGAACUCACCCCAUUCCUAAGAGGUUCAUAAAGGGGGUGUACAUAAGCGCACCAGCAUACCUACCAUCCCCGUCCUACCAUCCCCAUUUAUUCGUAUUCAUUUCCUUCAUUCAUGUCCAUGUUCAUAUUCAUAUCUGCUAUCUUGUAUAUGCCUGACAAACAAACAAAUAAAUAAAUUUAUUAAAUUUAUAUGCUGUUCAUCUCACUGGUGAGUGGCUCUGGAAACUUAUUAAUACAUAUUUUGCAAUAGAGUAGUAAAUGUUUGGAACGCUCUAUCUGAUCCUGUUGUUAGUCUCUCUAAUCCCAAUAUCUUUUACCUUGAACUGUCUACCGUGCACCUUUCAUGUUUCUUAAGAGGUCCCUAAGGGGAUGUGCAUAAGCGCACCAGCAUGCCUACUGUCCCUGUCCUACCGUUCCCAAUUAUAUGUAAUCAUUCUAUGUGUUUAUGGCUAUGUUUUGCCUAUUUAUAUCCUUUUUUUUGUGUGCAUCUUCUUUGUCCCUACUGAUAUUGGUUGCUUGAUCCCUCAGCCCAAAUUUAAAUACAAUAACAGAGUUAGAAAGGACCUUGGAGGUCUUCUAGUCCAACUCCUUGCUUAGGUAGGAAACCCUACACGACUUCAGACAAAUGGUUGUCCAACAUCUUCUUAAAAACUUCCAGUGUUAGAGCAUUUACAACUUCUGUAGGUAAAUUGUUCCGUUGAAUAAUUGUUCCGUCAGGAAAUUUCUCCUUAGUUCUAAGUUGCUUCUUUCCUUGAUUAAUUUCCACCCUUUGCUUCUUGUCCUGCCCUCAGGUGCUUUGGAGAAUAGUUUGACUCCCUCAAGCAGCCCCUGAGAUAUUGGAACACUGCUAUCAUGUCUCCCCCAGUCCUUCUUUUCAUUAAACUAGACAUACCUGCAAGCGUUUUAGCCUCCAGUCCCCUAAUCAUCUUUGUUGGUCUUCUGGUUCACUUCUGACAACAUGACAAUUUUGAAAUGUUUGGUGUAGGAAGAAAAGACAGAAAACGGCCACAUGAUAGAGACCCGCUAACAAAAGGCCAAGAAAGUAGAUAGACCUCUUUGUCAGGUGUCAUUGCAGAAGACCAUUAUCUUUGGAGGAGAACAUCUUUUUGAGUUGUUCUUUAUACUGAGAAGAUUCUAGAAGCUUAGACGUCAUUCUGAGUUAUACAGUAUGCUUAACUUGCUUGGUUGUUGUUGUUUUUUUGACUUGGCAAAGAAAAGGGAGGAAACUUCACAUAGCUAUAGGAAGACCUCGAGAUUAUUUAGGUUAGUUCUGGGUAAUCUGUGCAAUUCUUAGGAUCUUCUUUACAUUCCCGGGUUCUGUCAGUUUGCAAGAGAAACAGCUUUAUUCAUUUAUGUUUCAUACUUCUUAACUACUCAUCUUCCUUGGAGAUGGACCAGCCAGAUGGACCAUCACUGCAGAUGCACCAUCUAGCUAACAUCAGAUCUUACAAUUUUAGUACUAGGAAAUGGAGCCAUGAGGUUUUGGUGCAUGACAUUACCCUUUGAGCUAGGAGCUUUGCCACAGGCCUGGUGUUGUGUGCUGUACAACUUGGCUUUCCAGUGGUAUAUUAACUAUUAAGCAGACUAAGCACAUGUUCAGUGGCUAAGAUGCUGAGCUGGUUGAUCAAAAGGUUGGCAGUUCAGCGGUUUGAAUCCCUAGUGCUGCAUAACGGGGUGAGCUCCUGUUACUUGUCGCAGCUUCUGUCAACCUAGCAGUUCGAAAGCAGGCAAAACAUGCAGGUAGAAAAAUAGGGACCACUUUUGGUGGGAAGGUAACAACGUCCUGUGUGCCUUUGGCAUUUAGUAACGCCUGCCACAUGACCACGGAGGCGACUUUAGACAGUGGCUGGCUCUUCAGCUUUGAAACAGAGAUGAGCACCACCCCCUAGUGUCAGGAACGACUAGCAUAUAUGUGUGAGGGUAACCUUUACCUUUAGGGCACCAGGCCCAAAGGGGGCACCACAAAGUUGAGAAAGAAAAAACAACAACAAUGAAGAUUGGCUUUGUUUGUACAGUAUGUACAGAGGAGGGGGGGGGGCACCAAGAUUUGUCAGUGUUUAGGGCACCACUUAAUCCGCCACUGUUGCUGUCCUAAUAUUUCUUUUUACUUACUCUUUUCAUGUAUCUAAAUUGUGUUUAUACUUUUACCUGUUAUCUUAUAUAUAUAUAAAAUAAAUAAAUAAACUGUGUCUCUCUGUUAUUCCCCUGGAACUGCCAAUCAAUGAUUUGUGAUGAUUUGGCUCGGUAUGUUAUGCUUUUGUGUUCUGUUUAA
Ahaetulla prasina is the source of this 6137-nucleotide long non-coding RNA. RefSeq lists it as uncharacterized. The transcript has 4 exons. The record is from RefSeq and is a predicted model, not a curated record. Lineage: Eukaryota; Metazoa; Chordata; Lepidosauria; Squamata; Colubridae.